AACUAUAACGGUCCUAAGGUAGCGAAAUUCCUUGUCAGGUAAGUUCUGACCCGCACGAAAGGCGUAACGAUUUGGGCACUGUCUCAACAAGAGACUCGGUGAAAUUAUAGUACCUGUGAAGAUGCAGGUUACCCGCGACAGGACGGAAAGACCCCGUGGAGCUUUACUGUAGCCUGAUAUUGAAUUUUGGUGCAACUUGUACAGGAUAGGUAGGAGCCAAUGAACCCGGAGCGCCAGCUUCGGUGGAGGCGUCGGGUCGACGCGGCCG
RNAcentral lists this ribosomal RNA (268 nucleotides) under uncultured bacterium. RNAcentral describes it as "partial 23S ribosomal RNA". It matches the Rfam family "Bacterial large subunit ribosomal RNA", at positions 1938 to 2205 of the family's 2925-position model. The record is from RNAcentral.